Molecule: long non-coding RNA, 4547 nt
Filed under: Homo sapiens (human)
Lineage: Eukaryota; Metazoa; Chordata; Mammalia; Primates; Hominidae
Description: HSALNT0342247
Source: RNAcentral
GGUUCAGGCCUAGGCGCGGGGCAGGACGGGACCGGUGAGUGGCUCCUCCAAACAGCUAUAGAGACCCAGAAAUGCCUGUGGAAAGCUACAGAGGACUUGGGCAAGGCGUUAGAGCCGGACGUUGUGGUCCCUGGGGGAGCCAACCGGGGAGGUGCCUAUGAUCUUUCUUUCCAAGUUUGAGGGUUCAGGGCAAGCAGUUAAGAAGGGAAGAUGAACAUAAAGUAGGGAAGAGCAAAAAUGAGUUGGAACCUAAGACACGAGCUGGUCAUUCUUUCACUGUCUCCAACUUUAAAGAUAUGAGUAUCCUUGCUAGAGGAGCUGACACUUUUUGCCACAGGACUAGACACACACACAGCUCAGGAAUCAAAAAAGGUGAAGGAAGACUCAGGGAAAAGCUUCUGCCCCAUCCCAACAAGGUGAACCAGCUGAUUGGUGACAAAGUAGAUGAGCCGCAGUAGCACCUAGUGUCCCUGCACCACCGUUUCAAGUAUAAAACUGGAGGGAUGCUUCAGUUCUCCCCUUCAAGACUUACACAACCAUGUCUCUGUUGGGCUAUUCUAACCAGAAACAAAAGGAAAGGAAAUUCUGGGAAACAUAGUUUAGCUUAGCAAAGUUGAUAUAUUACAAAAUUACCACUGUCCACUCUGCAUCGAGUUGACAUCCAUACAGACCUCUUUAAAACACACUUUCAAAAUAAAGUCCACACCCUACACAUAAGCUAUCUCUAGAGAAAUUUGAAGUCUGUUGUGCACUGAGGAUAACCACAACAACAAACUGUAAACCUAGCCCAAUUUCUGACUAGACUGAUACCACCGAACCACUGCUAUGCACUCAAGAGCACUAAAGGCCUAGCAGAAGGAAAGACACACUCAUCUCCAAGCAUAAAAACAAUCUUUACUUCAUACUGUGAAGAGAGAAUUGAAAAAAUAAUUUAAGCAAAAAAAAUACAACAUGACUAACUUUUAACAGAAAGAAAAAAAGACGCAUACAGAAAGGCAAGAAAAAACACAGUCCAAAGAGAUAAAACAAUCAUUAGAACCAGAUUCAUAAGACAUAGACAUUAGAAAUAUGAGAGAAUUUUAAAUAACUGUGAUUAAUGUGAUGAAGGCCCUAAGGGGAAAGGUGAACAAAAUGCAAGCUCAGAUGGGUGAUUUUAGCAAAUAGAUGGAAACUAUCAGGAAAAAUAAAAUGGAAACUAUAAAAAUAAAAAAUAUAAUAAUAGAGAUGAAGAAUGCCCUCCAUGGGCCCAUUAGGAGACUGAACACAGUUGAGGAAAAAAUCAGACUUGAAGGUAGGUAAAUAGAAAUUGCUGAAACACACACACACACACACACAAAAAGAGUGACAGAAACAGAACACAGCAUCCAAGACUGGUGGGAAAAUAUCAACAUCAAAUCAAGAAAUAGGCGCAGUGGCUCACCCCUGUAAUCCCAGCACUUGGGGAGGCCGAGGCAGGCAGAUCACGAGGUCAGGAGAUCGAGACCAUCCUAGCUAACGCAGUGAAACCCCGUCUCUACUAAAAAUUCAAAAAAAUUAGCCGGGCAUGGUAGCAGGCACCUGUCGUCCCAGCUACUCGGGAGGCUGAGGUAAGAGAAUUGCGUGAACCCGGGAGGCGGAGCUUGCAGUGAGCUGAGAUCACACCACUGCACUCCAGCCUGGGCGACAGAGCAAGACUCUAUCUCAAAAAAAAAAAAAAAAUCAAGAAAUAAUGGCUGAGAAUUUCCAAAAUUUGUAAGACACCAAACCAAUCCAAGGAGCUCAGAGAACACAGAGCAGGAUAAAUUCUUUAAAAAGAAACUAAGCUUAUUGUAUUCAAACUAAGCUUAUUGUAUUGAUACCUGGUAGUUAUAACUUACCAAAUACACUGCCCAACAUCUCCAGAUGAUCUAUUAUUUCUGAAAGUUUCCUUUAUUACAUUUCUUACUUCAGGGAGAUAUAGCCUUCGCUUCAUGUUAUGGUUGGUGCAGUCAGUAUUCUCAGAAAGAAAGUACUGGUUCCAUUUUACCUCCAUCUUUUGUUUCCUGUCAGAAAACCUACCAUACCACCAAGUACUCCUUCUCUACACUGCCUCUGAUAUUUAAGUAAUUUGAGAAUUCUGUUGAGACUAUCUCCCUUUUUUGGUAUGAUGAAUCUGGUCCUAAAUUGCAUGCCAAAGACUUUGAGAACUAAACUGUAGACCCAGAUCUCAUGUCCCAGACUGGCCUUUUGUUACCCACACAAUGAAUGGGUUAAAUUGCUUGGCAGGGGACAGUCCAAUGACCACAACCAAGGAGGAUUUCCCAGGGGGAUUUUAUUACUUGCGAUAAGUAAGGAGGACACUGGGAAUAAUUCCCCAAAGCAAUGCCUCCCUGAGCAAUGGUGCAAACAUGGCUUUUAUUAGUCUGGUUAGCUGAGUCAUUGUAUGUAGAGGUGGAGUCAAGGCAGCGCAGUCCCAGUUGUCGGUUAUGCUGCUACAUAUGUCACAUGUAUAGAAAAUGGUGAAUAAGCUCCUCCUUGGACAGGAUUUUAAGUAUGGUGAUGAGGAAAGUUGGCCAAAGUUCAUCUCCAACUCAGGCAUCUCUGGGUCCAACUGGUCUUUGUUUUUCCUGGGCUAAGCUUCUUCCUGGAACUUUUUAAAACAAAAAUUCAAGAUGUAACAGUUACAAGUGUGUAACUUUUUCACAGUGCGUACCCAAAACCCAAGGACCCUGGGUUACACUUUAGGUGCCACCCAUGUGGGACCUAUCAGAAGAGUACUACAAAGGCUUUGAAAACUGAACUGACAUUGGAACCACAACCCUCAGAAGGCUGGUCAAAACUUAUGACUUGAACCCAAAUGGGUUAAUUACCCUUUAAAACAUAAAUAUCAACAUCCUCCACCAAAUUUAACCAAGACCCAGAGCAUCCUAAUGACAUUCAAAAUGUCCAGGAUACAAUCGAUAUUAAUUGGCAGGUGAAGAACCAGGAAAAUCUCAACUCACGUUGGGAAAAAAUGUAACAGAUGCAGAAUGUAAGUUGCCACACAUGUUGGAAUUAUCAAGACUAUAAAGCUGCUAUUCAAAUGGAAAGUUUAAAAGUCUCAGAGAAGUAAUAGAAAAUACAAAGAAUAGCCCCAUGGAAAUUUUAGAACGGGAAAAUACAAAAACCGUCAUCACAUCAUAUCCGGGGCACAUGCUGUCAACAUUGCUCAUCACUGUUGAUGUUAACCUUGAUCACCCGGCUGAGGUAGUAUUUGAUGGGUUUCUCCCUGUAAAGUUAUUCUUUCCCCUCCCCCUAUUUUACUGUUUAGUGGGAAGUCACUAUGUGCAGCCCAUGCCUAAAAAGGGAGUAGUUGGUGGGCACGGUGGCUCACGCCUGUAAUCCCAGCACUUUGGGAGGCUGAGUGGGUGGAUCACCUGAGGUCAGGAGUUCGAGACCAGCUUGGCCGACAUGGUGAAACCCCGUCUCUGCUAAAAAUACAAAAAUUAGCCAGGCAUGGUGGUGCACGCCUGUAAUCCCAGCUAUUCAGGAGGCUGAGGCAGGAGAACUGCUUGAACCUGGGAGGCAGAGAUUGCAGUGAUCCUGCCAUUGCACUCCAGCCUGGGCGAUGAGCAAAAUUCCAUCUCAAAAGAAAAAAAAGUGAGUAGUUAUAUUUCCCCUCCUUGCGGUGGAGUAUCUACAUUCUUCUGCAUGAGAAAUUUGUCAGUUAUCUCCUAUUUAUUCAAUUAUUUAUAUUAUGAAUUCAUGGAUUCCUAUUUUAUACUUUGGGUAUAAUCCAAUACUAUGUUGUUUAUUUUACUGCUCAGAUUAUUCCUGUGUUGGCCAUUGGGAACUUUUUCAGUUGACAUCUGUGUCCCUUUGACAAACUCCUGUCAUUUUGUGGGGAAGAGGGAGUAGCACUUUCUUACUUUCUACCGCUACAAAAUCCUCCAGUCUUAUCUUGUAUUUCUCUUCCCUAACCCUAAAGUCAAUCAUUCUCAUUUCUCUAAUGAUAAAUGAUGUUAAACAUCUUUUCAUAUGCUUUCUUAUUAUCUGUAUAUCUUCUCUGAUGAUUACCAAGGAUGGGAAGGGUAGUAGGGGGAAAGUGGAGAUGGUUAAUGGGUACAAAAAAUAGAAUGAAUAAGAAUUAGUAGUUGAUAGCACAACAGGGUGAUUACAGUCAAAAAUAAUUGUACAUUAUAAAAUAACUAGUAUAAUUGGAUUAUUUAUAACAAAGGCUGAAGGCUUGAGGUGAUAAAUACCCCAUUUACCCUGAUGUGACUAUUACACAUUGCAUACCUGUAUCAAAAUACCUUGUAUACCCCAUAAAUAUAUAACCUACUAUGUACCCAUUUAAAUAAAAAAAGUUUUUAAAAAAGAAAUAGUGCUGAGACAAUUGAAUAUCCACAUGCAAAAGAUAAAGUUUGACAUUUAUCUUACACCAUACACAAAAAUUAACUCAAAACCAACCAGAGACCUAAAUGUAAGAGCUGAAACUAUACAACUCUUAUGGAAACAUAGGCAUUAAUCUUUAUGGCUGUGAAUUAGGCAAUAGUUUCUUAGGUAAUACACAAAAAUCAUAAGCAACAAAAGAAAAAAUUGGAUGUUAG